GAUGAACGCUGGCGGCGUGCCUAAUACAUGCAAGUCGAGCGAACAGACGAGGAGCUUGCUCCUCUGACGUUAGCGGCGGACGGGUGAGUAACACGUGGAUAACCUACCUAUAAGACUGGGAUAACUUCGGGAAACCGGAGCUAAUACCGGAUAAUAUAUUGAACCGCAUGGUUCAAUAGUGAAAGACGGUUUUGCUGUCACUUAUAGAUGGAUCCGCGCCGCAUUAGCUAGUUGGUAAGGUAACGGCUUACCAAGGCAACGAUGCGUAGCCGACCUGAGAGGGUGAUCGGCCACACUGGAACUGAGACGCGGUCCAGACUCCUACGGGAGGCAGCAGUAGGGAAUCUUCCGCAAUGGGCGAAAGCCUGACGGAGCAACGCCGCGUGAGUGAUGAAGGUCUUCGGAUCGUAAAACUCUGUUAUUAGGGAAGAACAAAUGUGUAAGUAACUAUGCACGUCUUGUCGGUACCUAAUCAGAAAGCCACGGCUAACUACGUG
RNAcentral lists this ribosomal RNA (497 nucleotides) under uncultured bacterium. Its description in RNAcentral is "partial 16S ribosomal RNA". It matches the Rfam family "Bacterial small subunit ribosomal RNA", at positions 28 to 507 of the family's 1533-position model. The record is from RNAcentral.